UGUGUGUGUGUAUGUGUGUGUAUAUAUGUGUAUAUAUAUAUAUAUAUAUAUAUAUACACACAUACACACACACAUA
Molecule: non-coding RNA, 76 nt
Organism: Pelobates cultripes (western spadefoot toad)
Lineage: Eukaryota; Metazoa; Chordata; Amphibia; Anura; Pelobatidae
Source: the annotation of a GenBank genome assembly